AGAGUUUGAUCCAUGGCUCAGAACGAACGCUGGCGGCGUGCCUAACACUAGCAAGUCGCACGAGAAAUCUCGCUUCGGCGGGAGAGUAAAGUGGCGCACGGGUGAGUAACGCGUGGGUAAUUUGCCCUUGAGAUGGGGAUAACCCUGCGAAAGCGGGGCUAAUACCGAAUAAGACCACGGCUCGUUCGCGGGCAGUGGUAAAAGGCGGCCUCUACAUGUAAGCUGUUGCUCAAGGAUAAGCCCGCGUACCAUUAGCUUGUUGGUGGGGUAAUGGCCCACCAAGGCAACGAUGGUUAGCUGAUCUGAGAGGAUGGUCAGCCACACUGGAACUGAGACACGGUCCAGACUCCUACGGGAGGCAGCAGUGGGGAAUUUUCCGCAAUGGGGGGAACCCUGACGGAGCAACGCCGCGUGCGGGAGGAAGGCCUUCGGGUUGAAACCAGCUUUUCUCUGGAAGGAAGAACUGACAGGACCAGAGAAC
RNAcentral lists this ribosomal RNA (481 nucleotides) under uncultured bacterium. RNAcentral describes it as "bacterial SSU rRNA". It matches the Rfam family "Bacterial small subunit ribosomal RNA", at positions 8 to 486 of the family's 1533-position model. The record is from RNAcentral.